RNAcentral lists this ribosomal RNA (691 nucleotides) under uncultured Bacteroidales bacterium. RNAcentral describes it as "bacterial SSU rRNA". It matches the Rfam family "Bacterial small subunit ribosomal RNA", at positions 56 to 736 of the family's 1533-position model. The record is from RNAcentral. Lineage: Bacteria; Pseudomonadati; Bacteroidota; Bacteroidia; Bacteroidales.
UGCAAGUCGAGGGGCAGCAUGGUCUUAGCUUGCUAAGGCCGAUGGCGACCGGCGCACGGGUGAGUAACACGUAUCCAACCUGCCGUCUACUCUUGGACAGCCUUCUGAAAGGAAGAUUAAUACAAGAUGGCAUCAUGAGUCCGCAUGUUCACAUGAUUAAAGGUAUUCCGGUAGACGAUGGGGAUGCGUUCCAUUAGAUAGUAGGCGGGGUAACGGCCCACCUAGUCUUCGAUGGAUAGGGGUUCUGAGAGGAAGGUCCCCCACAUUGGAACUGAGACACGGUCCAAACUCCUACGGGAGGCAGCAGUGAGGAAUAUUGGUCAAUGGGCGAGAGCCUGAACCAGCCAAGUAGCGUGAAGGAUGACUGCCCUAUGGGUUGUAAACUUCUUUUAUAAAGGAAUAAAGUCGGGUAUGGAUACCCGUUUGCAUGUACUUUAUGAAUAAGGAUCGGCUAACUCCGUGCCAGCAGCCGCGGUAAUACGGAGGAUCCGAGCGUUAUCCGGAUUUAUUGGGUUUAAAGGGAGCGUAGAUGGAUGUUUAAGUCAGUUGUGAAAGUUUGCGGCUCAACCGUAAAAUUGCAGUUGAUACUGGAUAUCUUGAGUGCAGUUGAGGCAGGCGGAAUUCGUGGUGUAGCGGUGAAAUGCUUAGAUAUCACGAAGAACUCCGAUUGCGAAGGCAGCCUGCUAAGCUG